UGGCUUUGAAUUUACAUAAACAUGUGUACUCUUUUCUCUUUGUGCACAUAACUGCACCCUUUUCUUCAUAACUUGCAUGUCGAUCCAUCUAAUUUGAACUUCAGCAAAAAUUGAACCGCUUACAUCAGUCUAAUAUUCUGCAGAGCAAAGCACAGAUUGUUUUAAUGCUUUAGUUUUUCCUUCUGAAAGAUUGACAGUGUAAUCCAAAUAUCUUGGAGGGGCCUGUAUUUUUUCCUGUAUGAGGGAAGAUGAAGUACAACAAGUCUUUUGAAGAACUGAGACCCUAGACUGGAUCUAACACUAUCUAUUGGUUGUUGAGAAUUCAAAACAAAAUAGCAGAAUUGGGGAAAAUGUAUUCUGAACAGGUUCACUUUUUCCCGAUUCUUUCCCUUUAUUGUUAGAGUAUCGAGAAAGUUAAUUUAAUUCUAAUGAUUACAUGCAUUUUGAAGGUAUGGAGUCAAGCAUGUUGUUAAUUAUGCCACUUGUUAAUUAUGAGCAUAGAAAAAGCUACUUGGUUGGAUCAACUAUAAGACAUGCACAUUAUACUUGUCAAGUUGGAAAUUGUAUGAAGAGUUUUAGUAAUGAAAUGAUCCUAAUUAUUUGAUGGUGACAUUAUUUUGCUUUAUGUAGAAAUUUUUACUUAAUGAUAUCCUAAACUUGAAAUCUUGCACUGUGCACUAAUGCAACUUGCCUUUGUUAAGACUAACUGCAGCUCUAUUCCAUUCUCGUUAUUCAUUAUCUUCAUCUUCUUAAUGGUUUAGCGUGAUCUCACUUGCACUUCAAGCUUCCCAGUUACCCCCUAUAACCAGUUUACCUUUUUUUCUCAAACCUACUUGCAAACAACAAGAAAUUUUAUCACAGUCAAGCAAAUGAAGCGAAAAAAAAGAGAAAAAAUUUAAGAGCUCUUGUUAGUUUUGUAAUAAGAAAAACUGAACAUAUAAGUAGCAUUUCAAAUGACUCAGCACACAAAAUUUCAUAGUAAUUGGCAGCAACCUUGUUCUAAAUGAAAGAAGAAGGCCCCUCACAAUCUUUAUUAUUUAGUAUGAUUGAGAUGUCUGGGUCAUACAAGUACUGAUCUCCCCUCCAUGUGCCUCCAGGACCCAAAACUAGAGGUGUCAAUGUGGCAGAUGAGCCUAUGCAGACAUGCAUAUUUAUCAUACUGUUCAUAGUUUGAUCCAGGGCUGAAGACAUAAAACUUGUCAAACCCACUCUUUUGAAUUACAACUGAAUUUCGUCUUCCCUGCAUCAUCAGAAAAGAUGAAAAGAUACAGUUUAUCAAAUUAGCAGAGAAUAAAUCUUGUUAUUUAAACAAAACAAAUUGUAAAUGGACCCCUAUAUAUGAGGUUGGCUUCGAGUGUUCGAUCCCUGCGACUGAAUCCUUUAGGAUGAGAAAUAAAACAUCAAUCUUUCUUAAUAUUAUCAUAUGCAGUGUCUUCUGGGAGACAGUGGAAACCAUAAGUGGUCAUGCUAAGCACAUCAUAUGCCUCAUAGGUGUUUUCACCAAUCCACAGGGUUAUAAAUCUCAUGCUUUCAUGCAUGAGGGAGGGAAAAGGGAGAUGUUUGUAUAUUUGUAUAUUUUAUUCUCUUACUAUGUACCUUGAUAUUAAGUUUCUUUUUUUAUAUCAAAUGUGUGAUAGUUCCUGCAUCAAAUAGACUUUUUCCUUUGAUUUUUUCACAUUUCUAUUUCCUUUGUCAAAUUUGUUUCUAAUUUCCCUUAAAAGUGAUUAUUGUCAAGGCUUGCAAUACCCAUCUAAUUCCUGGUGUUCUAACAUUUUCCUUGGAAUAAUAGCAGCGCCUAUAAAUACUUAUAUAAUAUUAACAUGAGAUCUCUAUAUUGAAAAGAAAAGAAAUUCCAUAUAUUGUUGAGCUCAUUACUCUAUCAAUAAUUGCGAACUCUCGAGGUGCAUUGGAGUAAAUCCUACUCAUUCUCUCUAUCAUAGGUGCAUAAUCAUCAUCUUCUUCUGCCUCUGAUUCUUCUAUUUUGAAUCCUUCAUUCAUUGGUUCAUUAUCCUUUUUAUCUUCAAUUUCCUGCCUAGAGAACAAUGAUUGAAGUGCUUUCUGAGCUAAGGAUUGGCUUGAAUUUGAGGCUCCUUUUCUGUUGGUAUCUGGAGGAACGGUACUGAAUCCUGACAUCAUGGAUUGUUUCCUACGGUAACAGAGCCUGACAAUUGGGUAGACGAUGAUUUAGUAUUGCUGAUGGUAAACUGCGAGCCUAGGAGAUCUUGAUGAAGUGUCACCGAGCAUUUGAGUUCAUUCAUGUUCUCUGGAGCAACGGAUACAAGCUCCACCUGACGCUGAAUAUUGCAGAGAAUCAGAUACAAAUGAAUAAAGCAGAGGAAUUAUAGUAGGGACAAUGAAAUAGUUGAUGACUUGGUGUAGCUUUAGAAUGUAACCGCUGCCAUUUGCUUAAUUGUAGUGCAGGAAACAAGUUCGAAAAGCAGCAUAUGGCAUGAGUAGAGCUCAAUUUAGAUUGAAUAAAGCAAAUGAACUGUCAUUUGCUUAAUUUAGACUGAAUCCCCAAUUUUCCCACCACCCCCCUCGAAAAACAAAAAAUAUGAUGAUCUCCUGAAAACUACAUCAAAAUCGCCCUGGACUAGGGGAUUGUGAAAAGAAUAAUCUUUAUUUAUGUUAGAAAAUGGUAAGAACUCUCAACUCUUAAAGGACCCAUGUCACCCAUUUGUGGAUAAAUCUUACUGUUACAUGUAGCUGAUGAAAUGAAGAUGUUGGCGUUUACAUUUAUAUGAAGUACUAAAGAAAUUCUAACAAAAAGCAUUUUUUAUGAUUCAAUGGCAGUCCAAUAUCAUUAUGGCAAAAAGAGAUGUUUUUCCUUCCCAAGAAUUACAGGGACGGGUUCAGUAUAUUCUCAAGAGUCUAGUCUCAGCAGAUUUGGAAGAUGAAAACUUAUCUUCGCUACUUGAAUGUAAGUCACUUUAACUAGCAUGCUGCAAUUGGUCCUUGCUUGCAAAUCUUUAGUCUUACCAAAACUCAAACGCAGAAAAGAAUGGAAUCAAAGGUUGAAGACUCUGCCUGAAUAGAGUCUUCAGACUUCCUCUUAACAUUUUGAAGAGACCUAGUGCUUGGGGACCAUGGAAUUCCACCAUCAUUCACAAGCUUGAUAUCUGCAGAUGCCCCCUCUUGGAUAACUGCUUCACCAUUUUUGCCUUUUGAUACAGCUGUUUGCAGCACUUCCAUGGCCGCUCCGUGCCACAUGAGUGGC
This 3217-nucleotide long non-coding RNA is filed under the name Elaeis guineensis (African oil palm). Its description in RNAcentral is "long non-coding RNA (EGUI_LNC022616)". Lineage: Eukaryota; Viridiplantae; Streptophyta; Magnoliopsida; Arecales; Arecaceae. The record is from RNAcentral.